This 2361-nucleotide long non-coding RNA is filed under the name Bemisia tabaci. RNAcentral's name for it is "lncRNA ENSSSA1UGG004767". Lineage: Eukaryota; Metazoa; Arthropoda; Insecta; Hemiptera; Aleyrodidae. The record is from RNAcentral.
AUGGAUGAAAAGUGUAUUGAAAUUAAUUUAAAUUUUUCUUCCGGUGAUUUCUCAACAAUAGUCAACACAAGCACCUCUAGCAAAAUAGAAAAAUCUGUUAAUGUCUCCAAAGAGCAGCCGAACGAAAGCAUUUGUGAUAGUAAAAUUCAAAAUAGUUCUACUUCUAAGAUUUUUUCAAAAGAACGUAACUCAAACAUUGCUGGGAAAACGCUAACUAGAUCACUUAGUAGCGCUUCCUCUCUGCUGAAGAUGAACUCCGAAACAAUUUCUUCUAAAUCAACCUCGGAGAUCAUUUCAACUGAAGAUAACACGAGAACUGGUGCUAGAGUUGAAAAGCAAUCUAUGAAUCUGAAAAGCUCUCUGUUGAAAGUUGGCGCUGGUGGCUCUGAAAAUAGCUCUAUCCCCACAGCCUCACUAAAAGCAAAUAGUACAACCGUAAUUGAGAAAGGUUUAAAAACAUCCGCAGAUGUUUCAAAAGAACAGCUAAAUCAGUGUGUUAAAGUCUGUGUUGUUGAUGUACUAAAAGGAAAAGGACGAAUAUCACAGGCUGAACUAAAAUCAGUCAUUAACCAACCAAUCAAAAAGCCUUGCGUUACACCAGAACACCCACCAUCUGAAAAUUUAGUGAUGAAGAAACAAGCUUCUUCCAACAACUCAAGAACAUCGGAAAAAUGCUGGAAACGAUUACCUAAGGCUGUCAUUAGUAUUCCAAAGAUUGCAAUGGAUAAAAAUGCUUGGAUUGCAAAGCAUACUGUAAAUCCUCAAACUUGCAAGGAGAGUGAAAUGAAUCCUGACUGUUUGCAUCUGAAUGAAGCAAUCAGAAACUCAUCAAAACUGACCAGGAAGUCCGCAAAGGAACCGGGUUUAAAAGUGUCGCUGCCUUCAGAAACUAUGAACUCAUCAAAUCGCAUGGCCAAUGGAGACUCAACGGUUUUUAAACCGGAGACCGAGACAGACAAAAUUUAUGAAUUUGAUAAUGAAGUUUCAAUCCCUAAAGGAUCUUACAAGGACUUUGUUAGAACCGUCAAGAAGUCAGAUGGUAAGAAAAUUUCUGACAAUAUGCCUCCUUCUGAAGCAGAAUCAGUCAUCAAAAAUGUAGAAGUGUCAUCUAGCCGCGCCGGAUCUCAUUUGAUUAUUCCUGUUUGUGUGGAAAAAGUUCUCUCCAAACCAACUUACAGAGAGUUAAAGAGACUCUCGCAUACUUUACCAGUAAAAAGAAAAGAAAAGAAAACACGCGUAGAUUUCAGCUCUAAAAAUCAAUUUCAUUGUGACCAAGAAUCAAACCAUAUCACGACAGAAGGAGAUGGAAGUCUUAGUUCUCCUCUAGACUUUCCUGCCUCUGCGAAAGAAAAAUUUAGUAGUGCCAUCAAUGAAAAACGAGCGGAGGAUAAACCAAAUAUGAAAUCAAUCAUUAAUACAAAUCAGAAGAAGCUUAUCUUAAAUGUCCCAAAGUUACCGUUCAAUUUAAAAAACGUUAACAUGAAGUGUCCAUUAAAUGCAAUCCACACAGCUCAGAAUAAUGAUAAACCAAAAACUAUUCAAAAUAUCAACGAGACAAGCGAUAUAGCAAGCUCUAGCUUCAAAAUUAUGACCGAUAGAAAUCACACUAAUUCCCUCAAAUCUUCAACUCAAAGUUCUGAGAACAGUAAUCCCAUAAAAAAUAAAGAUAAUGACUCAACUGCAGUAAAAAUUAAAUCAUAUAAGAAUGAUAAUCUUGAAAUUAUUCCUCCGAAUCUUAAAAACCGAAAUACCAAAGGAGUCCUCCUAGCAAAAAGACCAUUUCAAUCAACAAUAGAUGAAAGCACUCUCAACCCAGGGAGUCCAAAAUCAGAUGCAUUGGCCAAGUCUGCUGGCGAAUUAUCACAAGCAACGAAGGGUGAACGUAAAGAUAUAACUAAAUCUCAAAUGAAUGCUCUUGUUAGUGAGCGAACAAGAAAAUUAAUCAUUGAGAGCGCUGUAUGGAAUAAAAAAAAGAAAGUUGAAAGUUUUUCUGCAGAAAAACAAACUUCAGAAAAAGAAUCGAUCACAAAUCAGGAAUUGAUUUCUUCAUCAAAGAAUGAUAGAGCACCAUCAGAAUUUCACUCCAAUGCCAUUAAGCCUGGAUCUUUGACUAGUUCAAAAAACGAAUCAAUUAUUCCCAAACCCCAGACUCCCGAUAUUGUAAAAAUUAAAACUUUAAGUUCUCUUAGUUGUAUAUCUUCCGGAGAACCCGAACCUUCAUGUCCUGUCACUAAUGAAUCUCAAAGCAUCAAAAGAAAUGGAUCUCUCUCAACAAGUUCCAGGGAUUCUUUAGAACAGUCCAAAGUCAGUCAACCAACAACAGCUGUUCAGGUAAACAUUUUUAUAAACACCAUAUAUUAA